AGAGCGAACGCUGGCGGCAGGCCUAACACAUGCAAGUCGAGCGCGUGUAGCAAUACACGAGCGGCAGACGGGAGAGUAACACGUGGGAACGCGCCCUUCGGUUCGGAAUAACUCAGGGAAACUUGAGCUAAUACCGGAUACGCCCUUACGGGGAAAGAUUUAUUGCCGAAGGAACGGCCCGCGUCCGAUUAGCUAGUUGGUGAGGUAACGGCUCACCAAGGCGACGAUCGGUAGCUGGUCUGAGAGGAUGACCGGCCUCACUGGGACUGAGACACGGCCCAGACUCCUACGGGAGGCAGCAGUGGGGAAUAUUGGACAAUGGGCGCAAGCCUGAUCCAGCCAUGCCGCGUGGAUGAUGAAGGCCUUAGGGUUGUAAAGUCCUUUUAACGGGGAGAUAAUGACGGUACCCGUAGAAUAAGCCCCGGCUAACUUCGUGCCAGCAGCCGC
RNAcentral lists this ribosomal RNA (447 nucleotides) under uncultured bacterium. RNAcentral's name for it is "SSU rRNA". It matches the Rfam family "Bacterial small subunit ribosomal RNA", at positions 26 to 518 of the family's 1533-position model. The record is from RNAcentral.